GGACAGGUGCCGGAGUGGUCGAACGGGCUCACCUGGAAAGCGUGUGUAAUGGAAACAUUACCGUGGGUUCGAAUCCCACCCUGUCCGCCA
This 90-nucleotide transfer RNA is filed under the name Roseibacillus sp. RNAcentral's name for it is "tRNA-Ser". It matches the Rfam family "tRNA". From Rfam's summary of the family: Transfer RNA (tRNA) molecules are approximately 80 nucleotides in length. Their secondary structure includes four short double-helical elements and three loops (D, anti-codon, and T loops). Lineage: Bacteria; Pseudomonadati; Verrucomicrobiota; Verrucomicrobiia; Verrucomicrobiales; Verrucomicrobiaceae. The record is from RNAcentral.